Sinocyclocheilus rhinocerous is the source of this 268-nucleotide long non-coding RNA. RefSeq lists it as uncharacterized. The transcript has 3 exons. Lineage: Eukaryota; Metazoa; Chordata; Actinopteri; Cypriniformes; Cyprinidae. The record is from RefSeq and is a predicted model, not a curated record.
AGAAUCAGCACCUCCUGACUAGCACACCAAACAGGCAGAGGAGGAGGAGGAGGAGGAGGAGGAGGAUGAAGACGAGCAGCAUUAGUCACUCUGUCAGCUGUAGAUCCAUGGAUAAAGAGCCAAACCCUGACCGAAAUACUUCCGAACCACAGUCACUCACUCACUGAUGCGGCGACCGGUCACAUCAGGAUAACGGGUUGCAGUGCAUCAUGGGAGUGGCCUGUCACUUGAGCGACUCUGAUUGGUGGAUCUGUCUUCAGGAUUGUGG